This 253-nucleotide ribosomal RNA is filed under the name uncultured bacterium. RNAcentral's name for it is "partial 16S ribosomal RNA". It matches the Rfam family "Bacterial small subunit ribosomal RNA", at positions 524 to 776 of the family's 1533-position model. The record is from RNAcentral.
UACGUAGGGUCCGAGCGUUGUCCGGAAUUACUGGGCGUAAAGAGAUCGUAGGUGGUUUGUCGCGUUGUUCGUGAAAACUCACAGCUCAACUGUGGGCGUGCGGGCGAUACGGGCAGACUUGAGUACUGCAGGGGAGACUGGAAUUCCUGGUGUAGCGGUGGAAUGCGCAGAUAUCAGGAGGAACACCGGUGGCGAAGGCGGGUCUCUGGGCAGUAACUGACGCUGAGGAGCGAAAGCGUGGGGAGCGAACAGG